AACGAACGCUGGCGGCAGGCCUAACACAUGCAAGUCGAACGAUAAGCCACCUUCGGGUGGUGGACAGUGGCAGACGGGUGAGUAACGCGUGGGAACGUGCCUUUCGGUUCGGGAUAACCCAGGGAAACUUGGGCUAAUACCGGAUACGCCCUUCGGGGGAAAGAUUCAUUGCCGAAAGAUCGGCCCGCGUCGGAUUAGCUAGUUGGUGGGGUAAAAGCCUACCAAGGCGACGAUCCGUAGCUGGUCUGAGAGGAUGACCAGCCACACUGGGACUGAGACACGGCCCAGACUCCUACGGGAGGCAGCAGUGGGGAAUAUUGGACAAUGGGCGCAAGCCUGAUCCAGCCAUGCCGCGUGGGUGAAGAAGGCCUUAGGGUUGUAAACCCCUUUCAGCGGGGAAGAUAAUGA
RNAcentral lists this ribosomal RNA (408 nucleotides) under uncultured Hyphomicrobiales bacterium. RNAcentral's name for it is "bacterial SSU rRNA". It matches the Rfam family "Bacterial small subunit ribosomal RNA", at positions 29 to 454 of the family's 1533-position model. Lineage: Bacteria; Pseudomonadati; Pseudomonadota; Alphaproteobacteria; Hyphomicrobiales. The record is from RNAcentral.